This 400-nucleotide ribosomal RNA is filed under the name Streptococcus agalactiae. Its description in RNAcentral is "bacterial SSU rRNA". It matches the Rfam family "Bacterial small subunit ribosomal RNA", at positions 1 to 392 of the family's 1533-position model. Lineage: Bacteria; Bacillati; Bacillota; Bacilli; Lactobacillales; Streptococcaceae. The record is from RNAcentral.
UUAAUGAGAGUUUGAUCCUGGCUCAGGACGAACGCUGGCGGCGUGCCUAAUACAUGCAAGUAGAACGCUGAGGUUUGGUGUUUACACUAGACUGAUGAGUUGCGAACGGGUGAGUAACGCGUAGGUAACCUGCCUCAUAGCGGGGGAUAACUAUUGGAAACGAUAGCUAAUACCGCAUAAGAGUAAUUAACACAUGUUAGUUAUUUAAAAGGAGCAAUUGCUUCACUGUGAGAUGGACCUGCGUUGUAUUAGCUAGUUGGUGAGGUAAAGGCUCACCAAGGCGACGAUACAUAGCCGACCUGAGAGGGUGAUCGGCCACACUGGGACUGAGACACGGCCCAGACUCCUACGGGAGGCAGCAGUAGGGAAUCUUCGGCAAUGGACGGAAGUCUGACCGAGC